CAGCACCAGAGAUACAAGUAUUUGCCACCAUGGCCAACUUUACCUGGGUGUCAGGGAUCUGGAAUGUUUGCAUUGCAAGUGACAUCUGGCUGACAGGAACUUGGAGAAAUGGAAUCCGAAGUGAAUGCUGCAGUUACCACAAGCCUCAUAUUUAUCAAAAGGUUUAAGCAGAUGCAGGAACAGAGAUGGAAACAUCGAGGCCAUUGUGAAAUCUUCAAUAAAUACACGUGGUCCUUGUUUAUUUCCUGAAAUGUGAAAUUACAGUAGACUAGAAAAAUGGGAAACAUUACCCUGCCCUCCUGAAGAAAAAAUACCAUGUAUAUUUAUUUCCAGUGGUUUUGAAUGUCUUUUUUUUUUUUUAGUUUGAAAACAGUGUGUUGAUAAUCUGCAAAUAUACAAAUAUAUUAAAAAUACCA
This is a non-coding RNA of Arvicanthis niloticus (Nile rat), 416 nucleotides long. NCBI's taxonomy places the organism in Eukaryota, Metazoa, Chordata, Mammalia, Rodentia, Muridae. The record is from RefSeq and is a predicted model, not a curated record.